Molecule: ribosomal RNA, 71 nt
Filed under: uncultured bacterium
Lineage: Bacteria
Description: partial 16S ribosomal RNA
Source: RNAcentral
AGAAGCGAGUAGCUUAACCGCAACGGGGGGGCGACGUCGACCACGGUUACUGAUUACGUAUGACUGGGGUG